This 561-nucleotide ribosomal RNA is filed under the name uncultured bacterium. RNAcentral describes it as "partial 16S ribosomal RNA". It matches the Rfam family "Bacterial small subunit ribosomal RNA", at positions 355 to 900 of the family's 1533-position model. The record is from RNAcentral.
UGGGGAAUUUUGGACAAUGGGCGCAAGCCUGAUCCAGCCAUGCCGCGUGCGGGAAGAAGGCCUUCGGGUUGUAAACCGCUUUUGUCAGGGAAAGAAAUCUUCUGAGUUAAUACCUCGGGAGGAUGACGGUACCUGAAGAAUAAGCACCGGCUAACUACGUGCCAGCAGCCGCGGUAAUACGUAGGGUGCAAGCGUUAAUCGGAAUUACUGGGCGUAAAGCGUGCGCAGGCGGUUUUGUAAGACAGAGGUGAAAUCCCCGGGCUCAACCUGGGAACUGCCUUUGUGACUGCAAGGCUUGAGUGCGGCAGAGGGGGGAUGGAAUUCCGCGUGUAGCAGUGAAAUGCGUAGAUAUGCGGAGGAACACCGAUGGCGAAGGCAAUCCCCUGGGCCUGCACUGACGCUCAUGCACGAAAAGCGUGGGGAGCAAAACAGGAUUAGAUACCCUGGUAGUCCACGCCCUAAACGAUGUCAACUAGUUGUUGGGGGAUUCAUUUCCUUAGUAACGUAGCUAACGCGUGAAAGUUGACCGCCUGGGGGAGUAACGGUCGCAAAGAUUAAAAA